RNAcentral lists this transfer RNA (72 nucleotides) under Danionella translucida. It matches the Rfam family "tRNA". From Rfam's summary of the family: Transfer RNA (tRNA) molecules are approximately 80 nucleotides in length. Their secondary structure includes four short double-helical elements and three loops (D, anti-codon, and T loops). Further hydrogen bonds mediate the characteristic L-shaped molecular structure. tRNAs have two regions of fundamental functional importance: the anti-codon, which is responsible for specific mRNA codon recognition, and the 3' end, to which the tRNAs corresponding amino acid is attached (by aminoacyl-tRNA synthetases). tRNAs cope with the degeneracy of the genetic code in two manners: having more than one tRNA (with a specific anti-codon) for a particular amino acid; and 'wobble' base-pairing, i.e. permitting non-standard base-pairing at the 3rd anti-codon position. Lineage: Eukaryota; Metazoa; Chordata; Actinopteri; Cypriniformes; Danionidae. RNAcentral also lists the same sequence under 1 other name. The record is from Rfam by way of RNAcentral.
GGCUCGUUGGUCUAGGGGUAUGAAACUCGCUUAGGGUGCGAGAGGUCCCGGGUUCAAAUCCCGGACGAGCCC